This is a long non-coding RNA of Hyla sarda, 734 nucleotides long. RefSeq lists it as uncharacterized. The transcript is spliced from 3 exons. The record is from RefSeq and is a predicted model, not a curated record. NCBI's taxonomy places the organism in Eukaryota, Metazoa, Chordata, Amphibia, Anura, Hylidae.
UUUCUCUCACACAGUUUGAUAAAUCUGGGCCCAUGUGCUUACUUUCUAUUUCCUAAAGUCAGACCCUAGCUGUGCCUUACUUUCUCCCUGCAGAUAAGGCAUUGGGUGUUUUCCUGCAUCAGGUCUGCUUUGGGUCCCGUUCUGCUGGAGCAGGUCCUGAGUAAGGGCUUGUAGAAGACGGGGAAACGUCAAAGCCUUCUCUGUCCUUGGCUGUGACACAAGCCCUGAAGAAACAGCAGCAGACAUUGGAACGCCUGGACUCUCCUUAGAACAGUGACUUUUGGCUCUGGCAACAGUUGAUACUGAGAUUCUUCGCCUGUGGGAACAGAAGUAGUGGUGCAAGAAGAUCUGGAGAAAGAGUUCAGGACCAAUGGUUUCAUAAGAGACACAUGGAAGGAGUUGGGAAUCCUGAGAGUAGGAGAAAGCUGAAGCUUGUAGGAGACUGGAUUGAUGCACUCUAGGGUCUCAAACAGGACCAAAAACAGGGAGCAAAUGUUAUGAUAGUUAUGUAAGUGUUGCAUAAGUCUGUUUUCCAUUUCGGACAACUUCUCAUCCAUGUUUACAGACAUAAUUGGAUUUGUGUUGCUUGCAGUAAUACUUUCUGCAGGCAUAUGUACGACUAAGGGUGCUAACGCACCUGAAACGCGUUACUUUUGCUCCUGUUAUGGCUUUUAUCCAAUAAACAAUAUUCAUCUUUGCACGACCAUCUGCGCUGGACAUUCCUAUUUUCUCCA